CCUACGGGAGGCUGCAGUGGGGGAUAUUGCACAAUGGGGGAAACCCUGAUGCAGCGACGCCGCGUGGGCGAAGAAGUAUUUCGGUAUGUAAAGCCCUAUCAGCAGGGAAGAAGAAAUGACGGUACCUGAGUAAGAAGCACCGGCUAAAUACGUGCCAGCAGCCGCGGUAAUACGUAUGGUGCAAGCGUUAUCCGGAUUUACUGGGUGUAAAGGGAGCGCAGGCGGCCCGGCAAGCCUGAUGUGAAAGCCCGCGGCCCAACCGCGGGACUGCAUUGGGAACUACCGGGCUGGAGUGCCGGAGAGGUAGGCGGAAUUCCUAGUGUAGCGGUGAAAUGGGUAGAUAUUAGGAGGAACACCAGUGGCGAAGGCGGCCUGCUGGACGACAACUGACGGUGAGGCGCGAAAGCGUGGGGAGCAAACAGGAUUAGAUACCCGGGUAGUC
RNAcentral lists this ribosomal RNA (442 nucleotides) under uncultured bacterium. RNAcentral's name for it is "partial 16S ribosomal RNA". It matches the Rfam family "Bacterial small subunit ribosomal RNA", at positions 338 to 795 of the family's 1533-position model. The record is from RNAcentral.